CGUUCUCGUGGUCCAGCCGGAAGAGGGUCUGCGCCAACUCCGGGUCGUCGUAGCGCUGUUGCAGUCCGCGCAGGGCGUCC
This 80-nucleotide transfer RNA is filed under the name Streptomyces phaeofaciens. RNAcentral describes it as "tRNA-Arg". The record is from RNAcentral. Lineage: Bacteria; Bacillati; Actinomycetota; Actinomycetes; Kitasatosporales; Streptomycetaceae. RNAcentral also lists the same sequence under 1 other name.